This is a non-coding RNA of Triticum urartu, 196 nucleotides long. NCBI's taxonomy places the organism in Eukaryota, Viridiplantae, Streptophyta, Magnoliopsida, Poales, Poaceae. The record is from RefSeq and is a predicted model, not a curated record.
CUGAUCUGGAUCGACUUGAUCCUGACGUGCACCGGCACCCACCCGGCCGCCCCCAUGCAGCGGCGACUAGACACGGACAAGUAGCAAGUACCCCUUGCAAUCAGAGACACGUGGGCAUCAAAACUUUGAGAAGUAUGGAUCCAAUCAAUAACAUUCAAAUGCAUAUGAGCCCCGGGGGAUUUAGUACGCCCAAAAA